UUCCUAAAUUCAUUUUCUUAAAGAUAUAAAAAUCUUCAUUCCUCAAGACAGUUAAAGACGCAAUCAAGGGGUUCGCCACUAAGGGGCUGUAGACAGUUUCGCGCACGGAAUCCAGUUGAACCAAAUGAAGGGUUGCGCGUCUGUGCAGAAUGCCUGAGUUUCAGCUGUUUCUAGUUUCAAAUAAUUGUGUAACUAUGAAUAAAUCCGUGACGUCUUGAA
Drosophila arizonae is the source of this 219-nucleotide long non-coding RNA. The record is from RefSeq and is a predicted model, not a curated record. NCBI's taxonomy places the organism in Eukaryota, Metazoa, Arthropoda, Insecta, Diptera, Drosophilidae.